Molecule: transfer RNA, 69 nt
Filed under: Streptococcus sp. HMSC071D03
Lineage: Bacteria; Bacillati; Bacillota; Bacilli; Lactobacillales; Streptococcaceae
Description: tRNA-Thr
Rfam family: tRNA
About the family: Transfer RNA (tRNA) molecules are approximately 80 nucleotides in length. Their secondary structure includes four short double-helical elements and three loops (D, anti-codon, and T loops).
Source: RNAcentral
GAUUUAGCUCAGUUGGUAGAGCAAGGCACUCGUAAAGCCUAGGUCAUAGGUUAGAUCCCUACAAUCUUA